This 815-nucleotide small RNA is filed under the name uncultured Davidiella. Its description in RNAcentral is "eukaryotic LSU rRNA". The stretch from base 533 to 815 matches the Rfam family "Eukaryotic large subunit ribosomal RNA", at positions 1 to 281 of the family's 3401-position model. Lineage: Eukaryota; Fungi; Ascomycota; Dothideomycetes; Cladosporiales; Cladosporiaceae. The record is from RNAcentral.
CUUGGUCAUUUAGAGGAAGUAAAAGUCGUAACAAGGUCUCCGUAGGUGAACCUGCGGAGGGAUCAUUACAAGUGACCCCGGUCUAACCACCGGGAUGUUCAUAACCCUUUGUUGUCCGACUCUGUUGCCUCCGGGGCGACCCUGCCUUCGGGCGGGGGCUCCGGGUGGACACUUCAAACUCUUGCGUAACUUUGCAGUCUGAGUAAACUUAAUUAAUAAAUUAAAACUUUUAACAACGGAUCUCUUGGUUCUGGCAUCGAUGAAGAACGCAGCGAAAUGCGAUAAGUAAUGUGAAUUGCAGAAUUCAGUGAAUCAUCGAAUCUUUGAACGCACAUUGCGCCCCCUGGUAUUCCGGGGGGCAUGCCUGUUCGAGCGUCAUUUCACCACUCAAGCCUCGCUUGGUAUUGGGCAACGCGGUCCGCCGCGUGCCUCAAAUCGACCGGCUGGGUCUUCUGUCCCCUAAGCGUUGUGGAAACUAUUCGCUAAAGGGUGUUCGGGAGGCUACGCCGUAAAACAACCCCAUUUCUAAGGUUGACCUCGGAUCAGGUAGGGAUACCCGCUGAACUUAAGCAUAUCAAUAAGCGGAGGAAAAGAAACCAACAGGGAUUGCUCUAGUAACGGCGAGUGAAGCAGCAGUAGCUCAAAUUUGAAAUCUGGCGUCUUCGACGUCCGAGUUGUAAUUUGUAGAGGAUGCUUCUGAGUAACCACCGACCUAAGUUCCUUGGAACAGGACGUCAUAGAGGGUGAGAAUCCCGUAUGCGGUCGGAAAGGUGCUCUAUACGUAGCUCCUUCGACGAGUCGAGUUGUUUGGGAAU